GAUGAACGCUGGCGGCGUGCCUAAUACAUGCAAGUCGAGCGAACGGACGAGAAUCUUGCUUCUCUGAUGUUAGCGGUGGACGGGUGGGUAACACGUGGAUAACCGACCUAUAAGACUGGGAUAACUCCGGGAAACCGUAGCUAAUACCGGAUACUAUUUUGAACCGCAUUGUUCAAAAGUGAACGACGGUCUUGCUGUCACUUAUAGAUGGAUCCGCGCUGCAUUAGCUAGUUGGUAAGGUAACGGCUUACCAAGGCAACGAUGCAUAGCCGACCUGAGAGGGUGAUCGGCCACGCUGGAACUGAGACCCGGUCCAGACUCCUACGGGAGGCAGCAGUAGGGAAUCUUCCGCAAUGGGCGAAAGCCUGACGGAGCAACGCCGAGUGAGUGAUGAAGGUCUUCGGAUCGUAAAACUCUGUUAUUAGGGAAGAACAUAUGUGUAAGUAACUGUGCACAUCUUGACGGUACCUAAUCAGAAAGCCACGGCUAACUACGUG
RNAcentral lists this ribosomal RNA (497 nucleotides) under uncultured bacterium. RNAcentral describes it as "partial 16S ribosomal RNA". It matches the Rfam family "Bacterial small subunit ribosomal RNA", at positions 28 to 507 of the family's 1533-position model. The record is from RNAcentral.